GCUCAAAAGUUUGCAUACCCUGGCAGAAAUGGUGAAAUGUUGGCCUUUAUUUUGAAAAUAUUAAAUCAUAAUGGUAACAGAAAUCACCCAAAUGGCCCUGAUCAAAAGUUUACAUACCCUUGAAUGUUUGACCUUGUUACAGACACACCAGGUGACUCACACAGGUUUAAAUGGCAAUUAAAGGUUCAUUUCCCACACCUGUGGCUUUUUAAAUUUUAAUUAGUGUCUGUGUAUAAAUAGUCAUUGAGUUUGUUAGCUCUCACAUGGAUGCACUGAGCAGGCUAAAUACUGAGCCAUGGAGAGCAGAAAAGAACUGUCAAAAGACCUGCGUAACAAGGUAAUGGAACUUUAUAAAGAUGGAAAAGGAUAUAAAAAGAUAUCCAAAGCCUUGAAAAUGCCAGUCAGUACUGUUCAAUCACUUAUUAAGAAGUGGAAAAUUCAGGGAUCUCUUGAUACCAAGCCAAGGUCAGGUAGACCAAGAAAGAUUUCAGCCACAACUGCCAGAAGAAUUGUUCAGGAUACAAAGAAAAACCCACAGGUAACCUCAGGAGAAAUACAGGCUGCUCUGGAAAAAGACAGUGUGGUUGUUUCAAGGAGGACAAUACGACGAUACUUGAACAAAAAUGAGCUGCAUGGUUGAGCUGCCAGAAAGAAGCCUUUACUGCAUCAAUGCCACAAAAAUGCCCGGUUACAAAAUGCCCGACAACACCUUGACACGCCUCACAGCUUCUGGCACACUGUAAUUUGGAGUGAUGAGACCAAAAUAGAGCUUUAUGGUCACAACCAUUAGCGUUAUCUUUGGAGAGGGGUCAACAAGGCCUAUAGUGAAAAGAAUACCAUCCCCACUGUGAAGCAUGGUGGUGGCUCACUGAUGUUUUGGGGGUGUGAGCUCUAAAGGCACGGGGAAUCUUGUGAAAAUUGAUGGCAAGACGAAUGCUGCAUGUUAUCAGAAAAUACAGGCAGACAAUUUGCACAUGGGACGCUCUUGGACUUUCCAGCACGACAAUGACCCUAAGCACAAGGCCAAGUUGACCCUCCAGUGGUUACAGCAGAAAAAGGAUUGUCUUUCCUGUGAAGAAAACAUGAAAUGCUGCCUUCAAAUUUGACCAAAAGAAGGUAUCUAAAGGCAGCAGCUUAUGCUGCCUUCCUUUUGAACCAGCCUUCGCUUCAGGAGCACACCCUUGACACCUAAAAAUGCUGCCAAGGUCCCUUCUAACGUCCUGUCCUUACAAUUUCCACCGCCUGCAGACUGUCUCCCAAAUUAUCCAUCUAUUUCUCUAAGGAAUGGAGGUGAGGGAUAAACUGGCACAGAAACAGCCACCAGAAUCCAACUCCCCCCUUGUUUCUCCUCCUCUCUUUGAACGGACUCGAUGCUGUAUGAGAAGCUCCUCCUUCCGGCUGCUCGCUACAGCAGGCAGGGAAACCCACAGACUCAUGUAGGAGUGUCAACACAUGUUUUUUUUCUUUCUCUCCAUCUCUCUCUCUCUGCCCGUUGCUUUUCUCGCUUGCUCCCACAGUUGUCUUCCAGGCUUGCUGUCUGAUUUUCAGAGGGGAGAGAUGGAAAUAGAGCAGGAUUCCAAAUGAAAGCUCUGUGCUCCAGGUCCUGGCAAUGUGACUUCACACCAUUCUUGCUGGCCGAGUCAUCGCAGCCUACGCUACGCUAUGAGGCUUUACACAAACGAACACACGCCGAGAGCUUUUCCUGACUGUCAUUGAUAAAGAUGUAUGAGGGACAAGGUUGUAUCACCUUGUCGGUGUCUCAUCCUGUGUGAAAAAUAUGCCAAGAUCGGAGGACAAAAGCCACAAGUUAGCACUAUCUGUUGAAAAGAGUGUGUUACUGAAGUAUACUUGAAUAAAGAAUCUGUGUUGUUAGCGGUGCUUGCAAAGGCAAGGUUCACUUUUACUUUUGCUCAUGAUUGUGGUUUGAGGUUUGAUGUAACUUAAUUCGCACUAUUUGUGCUACAAACAUGAAUGAUAUCUCGAAUUGUGCAGCUUACUGAGAAGUGUGUUUGUACUUCCCUAAUUGAUCAGACUUUGUAUUUGUGUGUGAUGGAAAUGAAAAGAUAAUACACUUUUUUUUUAUUGAAGGAGGGACCCAAGUCAUAUCUAGGGACCAGAAUAUCAUAGGGGUGGGCUUUAUUGACUUGGGCCAGCAAGAAACCAGCUAGCACUGGCCCAGAACACCAUAGCAACCGCAUAGUAACAUCCUGGCAACCACCUAGAGCACCAUUACAUCAUGGCUGCGAGUUUUGCAAAGGCAGGCACCACUCAUUUAAAAAAAAUUUAAAAAAAAUAAAUAAAUAAAAUGACAAUUUUGAUUAUAUACAGUCAUUCUGGCACUACUAAAAUACACAAAAAUAAGUCUUGACUUGGUAAAAAUAUCGAUUUUAUGAUUAAUUAUGAUAUACAUUUGAACGAUCCCAAUAUUGAUAGUUAAAAUCCCAACAUCGAUCUUUUACUUUAAAAUUUCCUUCAGUUUUGGUUGUGUUGACUAUCAUACCUGAUAAAUAUAUUGCAACAGAACUACACAGUUUUGGCCCUGUUUUAUUUUUUUGUAUUAAUAUUUUCGUAAUGUACCAGAUUACAAGGUUCCCUGUAGAAUUUCUUUCAUAGGUAAGCAAAGUGGAUUAUAUAACUGAAAUAUACCCAAAUUAAUUGGUAACAAAAUCAAAUCUAAAUCAGAAUCAAAUCAAGAGUAUGUGAAUCGGAAUUGAAUCAAAUUGGGAAUUCUGUAUCGAUACCAAGCCCUAAAAGGGCAGGGGGCAGCCUGAAGACAUUACAGAAGCAUCGUUACUGAACAUUACAUAAAGGAUUCAACGCUAGGGACGUGUCUGAGGCCUGUUAUUUUAUGUUGGUCUCUCUAACAAACGUUAAUGAAGUUAAUGGCUCCUGCGCAACAGAGUCUGCCAAGUGGUUGGCAAGAGUGCACCUCAACCAAGUCAGACAGGAGGUACUUGACAUUCUUAAAUUAGAAAAGGAUGACUGACGAUAAACAAAUAAUUGAUGCGCAUCCUCUGUAUUUUAGAGUGUUUUUCAUUUAGUUAUAAGCAAAAAAAAAUAAAAAAUUAAACUAACAAGCAGAUAAAGUUUACUGAACCCUAACCCUUUCUUUCACCUUGUUAAUCAGUUUUUGUAGUAUCUUUCCCACGCACUUUUAUAAUCGAGCUACAGUGGGUGUUUGCAGAGUUGAGCUACAGUCUUCAUCCAUCUGUACAAGUACACAUGACAAAGCGUAAUCAAAUAUUUGAAGGAAGGACAACAAAUACAGCAGGUAUUAGCUUUUUUCUGGUCACAAAAUGUAUCAAGGUAAAUAUAUAUAUCUAUAUUUUUUUUUUUUUUUACUGAAAAUUGAUGGAGCAACAUCAUUUGUGUGAAAAGAAAUAAUAAUGGAAGGUUGUUUCGAUUAAAAUUCUUUCUUUUCUUUUUUUUUUUUUUUUUUUUUAAAAGGUGGUGAGGGAACAUUUUACCCCACAUCUGGUGUAAAAGUCUCCCUCACUUGGGGUAAAAGGCCCCUAUGGGGUUUAUAGUGAUAUCAUGUAGAUACCGGGGCAAUAGUUAAAGGGCAAAAUUAGUCAACUAAUGCAAAUAAUUUUGAGACAGCAAGAUGCUUUUUUGAGUAAGAAAUUAAGAUAAUACUUACUCAAAAUAACUACUUCAGAAAAAGUCAACCAUAAAAAUUGUGUUUAACAGGUGCCUUUAACCCCUGCAACAGUGGGGCUUUCACCCCAAAACUAUCCUUUCAGUUAUUGGACAAUUACUGAAAAAUGUUUGAUUUAAUGACCUUAAACAAAAGUGAAAAUGUUAAAUUAGUAUUAUGUCUCAAAUGAUAAUUUCAGGGAUUUUCAUUAGCCACAUAAAUUUGCGUUAUUUAAAAAUAAAUAAAUAAAAUUUAGAUCAAAUUGCCACAAAAUCAACCUUUCGACACCACACAAAGAUCUCAUGGAUCUGAAAUAUUCUGCAGUGUAUAGUGACAAACAGGUGUUUAGGAAAGUGCUUUGGUAGUUUUUGUUGCUAUUUAGUGUUUUGGUAGAAAAUCAAAUCAAUGGAGCCUUUUACCCUGCAGAGUCUUUAGCCCCGUUGUACCCUAAUACAUGUUGCAUGGGUAGCUUUUAUAAUGUGAUGCCUGAUUAGGACACAGUUAGAUUAUGUAUAUCUGGAGAUGUGUGCAUCAGUCUGUCGCAAUCGUGCCACAGGCCAAAUGAACAGUCCGGGCCACUCAGACUUCAUUAUGGCAAAGCUAUUUGAUCGAUUUCAUGCCUGGCUCGCACUAUUUCAUCACAAACACAAAAACACUAAUACCUACAGAUAAGUAGGAUAUGCUAAUACACUUUGCCAGUCUCUUCUACGGGACACCUGUCGUGUAGGUAGAGCUCGUUGAGAGAGCUCAGUUACAGCCAGCAGAACAAAAACAGGUUACCUGAGCAACCUCCCUGCACAUCCCUCAUGUGACGUUACGGCAUUAACAGACCUCCCGGUGGAUCUACCUUAGCACUGAAAACUACCAAUAUACUCAAAGGGAUAGUUCGUCUAAAAAUGAAAAUUCUGUAAUUUUCUGUUUGAAUUGCUAUGAAAGUGAAAGAUGACCGUGGCUGACAUCUCUGGAGCAAUGCUAAUCAAUCGGAAUAUUUUAUUGAUACAUAUCUAAUGCUCGGAAUGGAGCGUGUUUGUCUAUUAUUUUGGCACGUAUGUAUCCCUCAGUGUGUGCGCAAUGCGAUCGUAAAUGCGUCACCCGAGACUACAAUUCUGUGUCACCUGCCUCUCUCUCUUUCUAACCUCUGUCUCUCUUGAGGACAGUACUGCACUUCUCCAUCCCUCUGUCAACACACAGAGCAAACAGACACUGCCCAUGGUCUCACAUAUACACAGCUCCGAGUCACCCACACGCAGUGAGGCGCACACACACACACACACACACACACACACACACACACACACACACAAGCCAUUGGCUAGGAUACAAGUGUGACAUGACAACCUGACAGAGUAUGAGACAGGAUGAAGAAUACUGUGGCUGCCAAACUGUUCAUGCUUGUUGCAUGUCUGACAUGGAGUGGAAUAUGUUUCAUUCGCUUAUGUUGAAAUUUUAGUAUGAGAAGGCAAGUGAAAGUAAUAGAGGAAGUGUAUGUAUAUAAAAGGCUAAUUAUAAUAUCAUAGUGUAAGUUUAGGUCUUUCUUUUUUCAUUCUGUUUUUAAUUUAACAUGCUUUAAGUGUGAUAAUAUCAGGGAUUUACCAGCAUUCUGCUUUCACCGGAUUACAGGGUUAUCAGUGUUGUCGUCAUGACAACAAAAUUGUUAUAUUGUAAAUAUAAGUUCACGCAAACAGUAUUAGUAAGCAAUUUUAUCACACUAAAAUCAUGUUAACCUGUAUAUUGUUUAUGUCUUGUGGCUAUAAUUUUAACAUUUGUAUUUUAGUGUUUUUGGACUGGCCUCAUUCAUUUCUAUUGUAAGUGCCUUACUGUAGCUGUGAUUUUUGCAUCUUUAUAAUUAAA
This is a long non-coding RNA of Myxocyprinus asiaticus (Chinese sucker), 5488 nucleotides long. RefSeq lists it as uncharacterized. Lineage: Eukaryota; Metazoa; Chordata; Actinopteri; Cypriniformes; Catostomidae. The transcript has 3 exons. The record is from RefSeq and is a predicted model, not a curated record.